RNAcentral lists this ribosomal RNA (496 nucleotides) under uncultured bacterium. RNAcentral's name for it is "partial 16S ribosomal RNA". It matches the Rfam family "Bacterial small subunit ribosomal RNA", at positions 29 to 507 of the family's 1533-position model. The record is from RNAcentral.
AUGAACGCUGGCGGCGUGCCUAAUACAUGCCAGUCGAGCGAACGGACGAGAAGCUUGCUUUUCUGAUGUUAGCGGCGGACGGGGGAGUAACACGUGGAUAACCUACCUAUAAGACUGGGAUAACUUCGGGAAACCGGAGCUAAUACCGGAUAAUAUUUUGAACCGCAUGGUUCAAAAGUGAAAGACGGUCUUGCUGUCACUUAUAGAUGGAUCCGCGCUGCAUUAGCUAGUUGGUAAGGUAACGGCUUACCAAGGCAACGAUGCAUAGCCGACCUGAGAGGGUGAUCGGCCACACUGGAACUGAGACACGGUCCAGACUCCUACGGGAGGCAGCAGUAGGGAAUCUUCCGCAAUGGGCGAAAGCCUGACGGAGCAACGCCGCGUGAGUGAUGAAGGUCUUCGGAUCGUAAAACUCUGUUAUUAGGGAAGAACAUAUGUGUAAGUAACUGUGCACAUCUUGACGGUACCUAAUCAGAAAGCCACGGCUAACUACGUG